GGGGACGAGGCUGCGGCGCUCUGGGCCAAUCGCGUGCGAGGAGGUUUCCCUAUGCCCCGCCCCCGCGCUCCCAGUCCAUCCCAGUUCACCCAGUCUGAUCUCUCAGAGCUCAAUAAAUAAAAUUUUAUUGAUGGGGAAGGGGCGGGGCCACCUCGGCUCCUCCCACUUCCCCAGGCCUCAGUCCGGGAGGAAUUCACAGUAUUUUGGUUAAAAAAAACCCCAAAGUGCCCCAGGGGUUACUUGGGGCACCUGGACAGCCCUGAACGAGCACGGACAGCUGGCACAGGUGUGCACAGCCAUGGCCAGGUGUGCACUGGUGUGCACAGGUGUGUCUGCAGCCAUGGCCAGGUGUAUCAGGCUGUGUCCAGGUGUGUCCAGCUGUGUCUGCAGCCAUAGCCAGGUGUGCACAGCCUUGUCCAGGUGUCUCCAGGUGUGCCCAGCUGUGUCCAGGUGUGUCUGCAGCCAUGGCCAGCUGUGUCCAGGUGUGUCCAGUUGUGUCUGCAGCCAUGACCAAGUGUGUCAGGCUGUGCCCAGGUGUGUCUGCAGCCAUAGCCGGGUGUGCACAGCCCCAUCAAGAUGUGCCCAGAUGUGCCCAGGUGUGUCUGCAGCCAUGUCCAGGUGUGCACAGCUAUUCCCAGCUGUGUCCAGCUGUGUCUGCAGCCAUGCCCAGGUGUGCACAGCUAUUCCCAGCUAUUCCCAGCUGUUCCCAGCUGUGUCCAGCUGUCCACCCAGCUGUGCCCAGGUGUGCACAGCUGUGUCUGCAGCCAUGUCCAGGUGUAUCCAGCUGCUCCCAGCUGUGCCCAGGUGUGUCCAGGUGCACACAGCUGCUCCCAGCUGUGCCUGCCCCCAGCCCUGCUCUCAGUCCUGCGGCUCCUGGGGGCCGCUCCCCCACCCCGGGGGGCUCUGGGGGGGUCUCGGCUCCCCCAAAUCCUCAGGGCUCGUCGUCCUCUGACGUCAGCGGCCGCUGGGGGAGGAAGCGGCGGGUCAGUGGGGGGGUCCCUGAACCCCCUCCUGCCCCAGAGCCCCAUCCCGGCUGUCCCCGGGCCCCCCACGCCCCCCCCUCACUCACCAGGGGGUCCCCGAGC
Molecule: long non-coding RNA, 1085 nt
Filed under: Cyanistes caeruleus (blue tit)
Lineage: Eukaryota; Metazoa; Chordata; Aves; Passeriformes; Paridae
Description: lncRNA (ENSCCEG00000002682.1)
Source: RNAcentral